AUCUUCGGCAGCCGCCUGGGAAAGCACAUCUUUUUAUUGUUCUAAUCGUUAACAGAUAAGGAAAGUGCCACAGGCACUGAGACGGGGUCUUGCCACACUGUCCCAGCUGGUCUCUAACUUCUGGGCUCGAGCAAUCCUCCCACCUUGGCCCCACAAAGUGCAAAGAUUACAGACGUGAGCCACUGCACCUGGCCUAAUCCUUAAAACACAUCUGAGAGGUCCAUACCCCUGAACUUCUCAAAUAUUUCCAAUGCUCAUCACUGGGUCUUUUGCAUGGUCAAAAGGGUUGCAGGUGAUUCUUCUGUGUUGUAAAGUUGAAGAGCAGCUUAAUCCACACUUCCUUUUUGGUCUCACUUCUCCCCUUUGUUCCGGUCAAACCCUGACUGCUUCAAAAGGAAAACUGACUCUUGCAUCUUUGCUGGUACCUGUCACUGAAAGAGGAUU
This is a long non-coding RNA of Homo sapiens (human), 444 nucleotides long. NCBI's taxonomy places the organism in Eukaryota, Metazoa, Chordata, Mammalia, Primates, Hominidae. The record is from Ensembl.